This 253-nucleotide ribosomal RNA is filed under the name uncultured bacterium. RNAcentral's name for it is "partial 16S ribosomal RNA". It matches the Rfam family "Bacterial small subunit ribosomal RNA", at positions 524 to 776 of the family's 1533-position model. The record is from RNAcentral.
UACGGGGGGGGCAAGCGUUGUUCGGAAUUACUGGGCGUAAAGGGCUCGUAGGCGGCCAACUAAGUCGGACGUGAAAUCCCUCGGCUUAACCGGGGAACUGCGUCCGAUACUGGAUGGCUUGAGUUCGGGAGAGGGAUGCGGAAUUCCGGGUGUAGCGGUGGAAUGCGUAGAGAUCCGGAAGAACACCGGUGGCGAAGGCGGCCUGCUGGGCUAUGGCUGACACUGAGGCGCGACAGCGUGGGGAGCAAACAGG